GGUAUUUAUGAUGAAAUCUAGUAUGAUUGAUGCGCUAUUUGCGGUGUGUUUAUUCGGUCUAAUUGUUUCAUUGAAUAGUUCGCCCUUGGGACCAGGCGGUGGCGAGAAAUUAGAAACAUCAAAGACAUCAAACUCCUUGCCCAAAGUCGCUAAGAAAAACCGUAUAAGAAAUGUAAAUACAUAAAAACUACUUUGUACUUAUACAAGCCAGGCACUAAUGAUUUCCAGGGUCUCUUUAUUUUCAUAAUACAUUUUCUUAGACCUAUCUACACUGAUACUGCAAGACUAAUGUACACUAAUACAUUAGCAUUUUAGUAGAAGAAAUUCAAAUGAAUUGCCCAUAGCUAUAUUAAAUGUUAUGGUACUUGCUGACGUUGUGAAAGUACUAGAGGGUGUAAAAUAUAAGAGCAUCAAAAAUUGCUAUUCGAAAGCAAAACUAGACCCAGUGUUUAUGACUCGGCUUAUCGAUGCCAGGAACGACAUUCUUCGGGGAUUAAAAGUAGGAAACUUAAAAGAAGAAGAAAAAAAUGCACGUGCUGCUUUAUUCUUUACAAUAAAAACCAAAUUAUUUGAGAAGCUGGAGAAUGAGAGCAAGGAGGAGUUAUUUAAUACUGAAUAUCCAAAUGCCGACGUAGAAAUAAACGAGGUCAUCGAUACGUUCAUA
Long non-coding RNA from Adelges cooleyi (spruce gall adelgid), 664 nucleotides. RefSeq lists it as uncharacterized. The transcript is spliced from 4 exons. NCBI's taxonomy places the organism in Eukaryota, Metazoa, Arthropoda, Insecta, Hemiptera, Adelgidae. The record is from RefSeq and is a predicted model, not a curated record.